UUGGAGGGCAAGUCUGGUGCCAGCAGCCGCGGUAAUUCCAGCUCCAAUAGCGUAUAUUAAAGUUGUUGCAGUUAAAAAGCUCGUAGUUGAAUUUCGGGGUCAAUAAGUUGGUCGUGCCAAUGGUAUGUACUGGCUUUAUUGAUUCCUACCUCUUGACGAACUGUGAUGCCAUUAAUUUGGUGUUGCAGGAAAUCAGGACUGUUACCUUGAAAAAAUUAGAGUGUUUAAAGCAGGCUUACGCUUGAAUACAUUAGCAUGGAAUAAUGAAAUAGGACGUUUGAACCUAUUUUGUUGGUUUCUAGGAUCGACGUAAUGAUUAAUAGGGAUAGUUGGGGGCAUUAGUAUUCAAUUGUCAGAGGUGGAAUUCUUGGAUUUAUUGAAGACUAACUACUGCGAAAGCAUUUGCCAAGGAUGUUUUCAUUAAUCAAGAGCGAAAGUUAGAGGAUCGAAGACGAUCAGAUUCCGUCGUAGUCUUAACCAUAAACUAUGCCGACUAGGGAUCGGAUGAUGUUAAUUUUUUAAUGACUCAUUCGGCGCCUUACGGGAAACCAAAGUGUUUGGGUUC
Molecule: ribosomal RNA, 565 nt
Filed under: uncultured Glomeromycotina
Lineage: Eukaryota; Fungi; Glomeromycota
Description: SSU rRNA
Rfam family: Eukaryotic small subunit ribosomal RNA
Source: RNAcentral